RNAcentral lists this ribosomal RNA (464 nucleotides) under uncultured bacterium. RNAcentral describes it as "partial 16S ribosomal RNA". It matches the Rfam family "Bacterial small subunit ribosomal RNA", at positions 339 to 795 of the family's 1533-position model. The record is from RNAcentral.
CUACGGGCGGCUGCAGUGGGGAAUAUUGGACAAUGGGGGCAACCCUGAUCCAGCCAUGCCGCGUGUGUGAAGAAGGCCUUAGGGUUGUAAAGCACUUUCAGUGGUGAGGAAGGGUGUGCAGUUAAUACCUGCAUAUCUUGACGUUAGCCACAGAAGAAGCACCGGCUAACUCUGUGCCAGCAGCCGCGGUAAUACAGAGGGUGCGAGCGUUAAUCGGAAUUACUGGGCGUAAAGCGCGCGUAGGUGGUUUGUUAAGUCGGAUGUGAAAUCCCCGGGCUCAACCUGGGAACUGCACCCGAUACUGGCAGGCUAGAGUACGAUAGAGGGGUGUGGAAUUUCCUGUGUAGCGGUGAAAUGCGUAGAUAUAGGAAGGAACAUCAGUGGCGAAGGCGACACCCUGGAUUGAUACUGACACUGAGGUGCGAAAGCGUGGGGAGCAAACAGGAUUAGAUACCCGCGUAGUC